AACGAACGCUGGCGGCAUGCCUAACACAUGCAGGUCGAACGAAGCCUUCGGGCUUAGUGGCGCACGGGUGCGUAACGCGUGGGAAUCUGCCCCUUGCUUCGGAAUAACAGUUAGAAAUGACUGCUAAUACCGGAUGAAGUCUUCGGACCAAAGAUUUAUCGGCAAGGGAUGAGCCCGCGUAGGAUUAGGUAGUUGGUGGGGUAAAGGCCUACCAAGCCGACGAUCCUUAGCUGGUCUGAGAGGAUGAUCAGCCACACUGGGACUGAGACACGGCCCAGACUCCUACGGGAGGCAGCAGUGGGGAAUAUUGGACAAUGGACGCAAGUCUGAUCCAGCAAUGCCGCGUGAGUGAUGAAGGCCUUAGGGUUGUAAAGCUCUUUUACCAGGGAUGAUAAUGACAGUACCUGGAGAAUAAGCGCCGGCUAACUCCGUG
This 433-nucleotide ribosomal RNA is filed under the name uncultured bacterium. RNAcentral describes it as "partial 16S ribosomal RNA". It matches the Rfam family "Bacterial small subunit ribosomal RNA", at positions 29 to 507 of the family's 1533-position model. The record is from RNAcentral.